AUAGCUCAGUGGUAGAGCUCAUGCUUAGCGUGCAUGAGGUCCUAGGUUCAAUCCCCAGU
This 59-nucleotide transfer RNA is filed under the name Camelus ferus (Wild Bactrian camel). It matches the Rfam family "tRNA", at positions 7 to 64 of the family's 71-position model. From Rfam's summary of the family: Transfer RNA (tRNA) molecules are approximately 80 nucleotides in length. Their secondary structure includes four short double-helical elements and three loops (D, anti-codon, and T loops). Lineage: Eukaryota; Metazoa; Chordata; Mammalia; Artiodactyla; Camelidae. The record is from Rfam by way of RNAcentral.